This 253-nucleotide ribosomal RNA is filed under the name uncultured bacterium. RNAcentral's name for it is "partial 16S ribosomal RNA". It matches the Rfam family "Bacterial small subunit ribosomal RNA", at positions 9 to 254 of the family's 1533-position model. The record is from RNAcentral.
GUAGUUUGAUCCUGGCUCAGGACGAACGCUGGCGGCGCGCCUAACACAUGCAAGUCGAACGAGCGAGAGAGAGCUUGCUUUCUCGAGCGAGUGGCGAACGGGUGAGUAACGCGUGAGGAACCUGCCUCAAAGAGGGGGACAACAGUUGGAAACGACUGCUAAUACCGCAUAAGCCCACGACCCGGAAUCGGGGUAAGAGGGAAAAGGAGCAAUCCGCUUUGAGAUGGCCUCGCGUCCGAUUAGCUAGUUGGUG